Molecule: long non-coding RNA, 702 nt
Organism: Alexandromys fortis (reed vole)
Lineage: Eukaryota; Metazoa; Chordata; Mammalia; Rodentia; Cricetidae
Exons: 4
Source: RefSeq, a predicted model, not a curated record
CUCCCACUCCAGACAGACGCAGGUUAAGAUCCUCUCUGGCAAGACUACAAACUUCAUUUAUGGCAAGAGUUCACUUCACCUCCCUUGUGACUGAUAUUUUCAUUUCAUCAGCGGUACAUCUGUCCAGUGCUCCCCAGGAAUAACCCUAGGAUCUCACGUUGUAUGGAACAUGUGGAGGUCAGAAGACAACUUGAAGCAGUUAGUUCUCUCCUUCCACCAUGUAGUCUCCAGGAUCACUCUCAGGUCACCAGGUUGGAGGAUACAGUGUGACCGACUCCUUCAAGUUCCUGCUGUCCUGAUUUCCCCAUCGCGGUGGACUGCACCAUUAAACUUUAAGCUAAAACAAACAUUUUCUCUUCUAGGUUGCUUUUCUUUGGGACAUUUUGGCACCAGAAAAGUCAUUAAAAUAGCAUUGAGAUUGAGCACCACGAAAAAGAAGAGAAAAGACUCGUCAUUUGUGUUUGCAGUCAAUCUUUUUCGGGUAUCCUGCCUCCCUGUCACAGGCAGACACCCAUAUAUCUGCUGUUCCAUAGAUUUGCCUUCUCUCGACAUUUUCUUUAAAAAAGAAUCACACAGUAUGUCCUCUUCUGUUCUAGAGUCUUUCAUUUGGCAUACCCUCCCCCAGCCCAGGCUGGCCUAAAACUCACUGUGUAGGUCAAGUUGGCAUGAAACUCCCAAGUGUUAGGACUGGAAGGUAUGAGC